AAACAAGACGAGAAGGAGAAGUUUGUGUCUUAUCUUAUGGAGGGAAAAAUCAUUCUCCUUUGCCUUAUGGUGAUUGUGCAACUAGGCAUAGGCAAUCCCAUUCAUAUUGGUACGAAAUUGAUCUCCUUUCUCCUACAUGUCUAUAUUUUCAGCAGACCUGCACGAAUUUCAUUGCAAUGUUUCACAAUUUGGACUUACCUCAAUGAUGCAUGUUCUUGUCUACAGAUGAUUGCGUGAAGGUGAUUGCUUUUACAGCCGCUGAAUGCUCAACAUUAGAUUGCCGGAGAUCCUGCCAGGAUUCCUGGGAAGAACACGUCUAUAGAGCUUAUUGUAGGGCUGGCGAAACUCAGCAAUAUUGUUACUGCUUUAUUUGUGAUGAAAAGUGAUUGUUGCUGGUACCCAUCACGCCAAUCAAUGGACAGUGAUGUGAUUCAAUAAUAAAAUAUUCUUGUGACAAUGUGUAUUGAUCGCCAAUUUUGAUUGUUCUACUUUGUUUUUCUAUUACGAGAUUUUUCCAAUAAUAAAACAGCCUUGAUUUUUUCGUGAUUACGAGAUUUCCUUUGUUUGCAUGGCCUCACGGUUACAACAUGAAUGAACAAAGAUUACAGUAUCGACACUCCCAAUUCUAAUGGUUUUCUGAUGCGAUGAGAGCGGCUGCUUCGUCUUCAUCAGGGACUUAUCACCCGGCGACUUCACUUGGAAAUACUAUACUAUUAGGAGCUUGAGAAGGGAUUACAGUUUACCAAUAUUACCACUUUUAUUUAUUUUGCUUUUCUCAAGCACUUUUGAAAUGAGCACAAUUUCCGGCCAAAAAAUUGACCCUUUCACAUUCUGACAUGGCUCUGUCACAUUUCAAACAAGGAAAACAAGUGUAAG
RNAcentral lists this long non-coding RNA (876 nucleotides) under Triticum aestivum (bread wheat). Its description in RNAcentral is "long non-coding RNA (TAES_LNC026569)". The record is from RNAcentral. Lineage: Eukaryota; Viridiplantae; Streptophyta; Magnoliopsida; Poales; Poaceae.